RNAcentral lists this long non-coding RNA (332 nucleotides) under Diabrotica virgifera virgifera (western corn rootworm). Its description in RNAcentral is "uncharacterized LOC126887042". The record is from RNAcentral. Lineage: Eukaryota; Metazoa; Arthropoda; Insecta; Coleoptera; Chrysomelidae.
AAAGCAGAUUUGAAUAUCCGACCUUGUCAGUCAGCUGUUGUUACUAGGCCAAGGAUGGACGGGUGAUAUCGACACCCGGACCAUGAAAAAAGUUUAUAUGUUUUUUUGUGCAACGUGUAUGUGGCCGUUUCUUUCUGUUUUUUUUGCUGUUUGCUGUUGUACGGAGGACUAAGCUAGCAUUCAAAAUUUAAAAAUCAAAUGUACAUUCCUAAGAUGCACUUUUUUACACCUCUAUGUAGCGGUACUUUUUUAGUAUUUGACCAUUAGCUCCGAUGAUGACGUUUAUGUCGAAAGCGCUCAGCUAAGGAAAUAAAAUUAUUUACACACUUUGA